AACGAGGAAGCCGGUGUGAAUCCGGCGCGGUGCCGCCACUGUGAUCGGCGAGCGGAUCCCGAACAGGCCACUGCCCGUACGCGCGGGUGGGAAGGCCGGGACGAGCAUCGACCCGAGAGCCAGGAGACUC
This 130-nucleotide non-coding RNA is filed under the name Streptomyces violaceusniger. Lineage: Bacteria; Bacillati; Actinomycetota; Actinomycetes; Kitasatosporales; Streptomycetaceae. The record is from RNAcentral.